This 294-nucleotide unclassified non-coding RNA is filed under the name uncultured fungus. RNAcentral describes it as "partial contains 5.8S ribosomal RNA, internal transcribed spacer 2, and large subunit ribosomal RNA". Lineage: Eukaryota; Fungi. The record is from RNAcentral.
AACGCAUAUUGCGCCCUCUGGCACUCCAGAGGGCAUGUCCGACCGAGCGCCACUGCCCGCGCUCGGGGAUGACCAUGGCUUACGCCGUGGCUUCCCCGGUGUUGGGGCGUGCGCCGCUGUCACAAGCGGUGCUGCCCCGAAAUGCAGUGGCGGCCGUACCCCGCGGACCUCCUGGCGCAGUAGCUUAAACACCUAAAGUCGUCAUGGCGAGUCCCGGGGAUGGGCCCGCUCCCUAGAACCCCUUACAACGCACUGGUUGGCCUCGGGUCGGACAAGAUUACCCGCUGAACUUAA